This 645-nucleotide ribosomal RNA is filed under the name Vibrio cholerae. Its description in RNAcentral is "partial 23S ribosomal RNA". It matches the Rfam family "Bacterial large subunit ribosomal RNA", at positions 1243 to 1873 of the family's 2925-position model. RNAcentral also lists the same sequence under 1 other name. The record is from RNAcentral. Lineage: Bacteria; Pseudomonadati; Pseudomonadota; Gammaproteobacteria; Vibrionales; Vibrionaceae.
UAAGCCGUUGAAGGUGAAUCGUAAGGUUUGCUGGAGGUAUCAGAAGUGCGAAUGCUGACAUGAGUAACGACAAAGGGGGUGAAAAACCUCCUCGCCGGAAGACCAAGGGUUCCUGUCCAACGUUAAUCGGGGCAGGGUGAGUCGACCCCUAAGGUGAGGCCGAAAGGCGUAAUCGAUGGGAAACGGGUUAAUAUUCCCGUACUUCUGACUAUUGCGAUGGGGGGACGGAGAAGGCUAGGUGGGCCAGGCGACGGUUGUCCUGGUUCAAGUGCGUAGGCUUGAGAGUUAGGUAAAUCCGGCUCUCUCUAAGGCUGAGACACGACGUCGAGCUACUACGGUAGUGAAGUCAUUGAUGCCAUGCUUCCAGGAAAAGCCUCUAAGCUUCAGAUAGUCAGGAAUCGUACCCCAAACCGACACAGGUGGUCGGGUAGAGAAUACCAAGGCGCUUGAGAGAACUCGGGUGAAGGAACUAGGCAAAAUGGUACCGUAACUUCGGGAGAAGGUACGCUCUUGAUGGUGAAGUCCCUCGCGGAUGGAGCUGACGAGAGUCGCAGAUACCAGGUGGCUGCAACUGUUUAUUAAAAACACAGCACUGUGCAAAAUCGCAAGAUGACGUAUACGGUGUGACGCCUGCCCGGUGCCGGA